Non-coding RNA from Pelobates cultripes (western spadefoot toad), 4369 nucleotides. NCBI's taxonomy places the organism in Eukaryota, Metazoa, Chordata, Amphibia, Anura, Pelobatidae. The record is from the annotation of a GenBank genome assembly.
CUGGUACUUUAUAAUUUCGUAUGAUGCUUGGGUUUUAAUGUAAUUACGCGGUGCGCCUGUGCACUUUGUGUUCGAAUAUCACAAUUUAUGGUGACUGCAAUAUCACUUGACUGUUAUAAAGCAGCUCCAGCUGCGUAGCCGUUUACCAAUACAAGCUGUGUUUGCGUUAGCCACUUUUGCUGGAGAGAAAGGGAAUUUGCCCCAAGUAAUAAGCACAAUUUUAUUUUUAUUUUUUUCUUCACAAAGAAAACUUGAAUUCCUCACUUUGAAAAAUAGCAUCAGCAUUAGUUAUGUAGCCUUAAAAAAGACAAUUUAAUGACGUAGUCUGAAACAUGUACACAUAAUACUUAUUAGUUUGAUAUAUAGAGACCUGCGGGGAUCAGUAUACAGUCUGUAAGGCUUCUGUGCUUAUUUUAUGGAGAGUGCUGGGCUCAAUGCUCAGUCUAUACUGGGUUCAGUGCCCAGUCUAUAGAGAGUUCCUGGGUUCAGUACUCUGUCUAUGGAGAGCUCCUGGGUUCAGUACUCUGUAGAAAACUCCUGGGUUCAGUACUCUGUCUGUAGAAAACGCCUGGGUUCAGUACCCCGUCUAUGGAGUGCUCCUGGGUUCAGUACCCUGUCUGUAGAACACUCCUGGGUUCAGUACUCUGUCUAUGGAGAGCUCCUGGGUUCAGUACUUUGUAGAAAACUCCUGGGUUCAGUACUCUGUCUAUGGAGAGCUCAUGGGUUCAGUACUCUAUCCAUGGAGAGCUCCUGGGUUCAGUGCUCUGUCUAUGGAGUGCUAGAGCAUUCAGAGCUUAAUUAAUAGAGAGCUGCAGAGGUCAGCGCUCAGUGUGUGCAAAGCUGCAGAGGUCAGCGCUCAGUGUGUGCAAAGCUGCAGAGGUCAGCGCUCACUCAGUGCAAAGCUGCAGAGCUCAGUGUUGAGUAUAUGGAGAGCUGCAGUGUUCAAGGUUCCAUCUGUGGAGUUCUGUAGGGAGUUGUAUGUGCUCUAUAGUGAGUUGCAAGGUUCAGUGUUCCACAUAUAGAGAGCUGCCGCAUUAGGGGUUCAGUGUUCCACAUAUGGAGAGCUGCCGCGUUAGGGGUUCAGUGUUCCACAUAUGGAGAGCUGCCGCGUUAGGGGUUCAGUUGUUGAAUUAAAAGCUUUAAUGUUUCAUCAAUAGGCAUCAUCUGCUGGAUUCAUUUUACGCACUACAGAUAUGUACAAGGUACUCAAGUCUUUAUGAAACUUGCUAUACUAAGUAGCGGACAUCUACCUAUAUUUAUGGAUAUCUGUCAUGGUAGAAAGAGGUUUUCCAGGAGCUUUCCUAUAAAGACUAACAGCUCAUUCCAGGAAUAGGACAUUCUCUCUACAUACAGACCUCGGCUUGAGCAGUAUGGGGCAAAAUCGCAAACAUUGUUGGAUUAGUGCUGACUUUUUGCACAGACAGAGUGGAAAUCUUUGGCUUGUUUGACACUGAGGCUCAGAUGCUUAUCAAACUGACGUGGAGACUUGAUUUGCCAGGUAAUGGCUGAGACAAGCGGUGGAAGAAACACUUUUAUUUCUGGGCGGUGGAAGUGGCUUGUAGUUCUGUCUACUCUAAUACCACUUUAAAAAAAAUCAUGCACCACCCAUUACAAGUUGGGUACACGCCUCCAUGCACUCCGCUGCCCUGACCACCCAAUUGCUUCUCGCAUUGAGGUACAACUGGGAGAUCUUCAGGAAAUGAAUAUGAAAGUUCCCAGCUUUGUUGUUAUGUUUACAUCCAUGUUUAACCCCUUCUACCCAGCAGCUCCAGUACAUUAUCUAAAGGGCAGACUCGAAGAUUACAUUUAGUAGUUAACCCUUUUGUGACCUGAAACCCCAUUACAUUGUCUAGUCUGGAAAUGAAGUCACAUUACAAUAGUCUGCUGCAUUGUGCAGUGCCGACUCUGAAUCCAUCAGACGGACAGCCUGUCUGUCUGUAAAAUAUAAAUGGCAAUAAUAUAUUACUAUACAGCAACCUGCCAAGUAUGUGUUAUUAAUGUUCAUCUUUGUAUCGGGUAGAGAACCUACAUUGAAUUAAUCGCUCACACUUUAUAUGCAAUGUAAAAUGAGCAAAUUCACGUUUUGGUUGAUUAAUGAGCAACAGGAUGGUUAAAAUAUAACAACAACAAAAAAAUUCAGAUUUGUAGCAUAAUAAAUUUGGUGGAAUGAGACCCUGUAUUCUGUCUCCGAUAUAGUUACUUCUGACUUAGACCAUCCUUAUAUUUCUCGUGUGACUUGUCUUACGGACAGGAGGACAAUGUUUUAACAAUGUGCCCAUCAGCAGAGUUAUAACCAUCCAUUUUAUUUAGAGUUCAGAUUUAAUGACUGACGUUUAGUUGUUGUUCAGAUGACUUACUUUGUAUGGAAUCCAAGGAAGGGGAGAAUCAUGGGACAUUGUUGUAAUUUCUUUAUUGUGGUCAUAGGUUGCUUUCUAUAAAACGAUUAGAAGUAGAAUCACUUACAUCUUAAGCAUCUGAUUGCACAUGUGGUUGUUUCUGUAUUCCGUGUGUCUGCUGAACAUUUUCACCGUACCAUUCAAAACGAUUGGAAAUGGCUAUAGUAGACCACCAGUCUGGAGAACAUUUUCACUGUACCAUUCCAAACGAUAGGAAAUGGCUAUAGUAUGCCAUCAGUCUGGAGAGCAUUUUUACCUUACCAUUCCAAACGAUUGGAAUUGGCUUUAGUAUGCCAUCAGUCUGGAGAGCAUUUUUACCAUACCAUUCCAAACGAUUGGAAUUGGCUUUAGUAUACCACCAGUCUGCAGAACAUUUUCACCAUACCAUUCCAAACGAUUGGAAAUGGCUAUAGUAUGCCACCAGUCUGGAGAAGAUUUUUACCUUACCAUUCCAAAUGAUUGGAUAUGACUGUUGUAUGCCACCUGUCUGGAGAACACUUUCUCCUUAAUCCACUGAUUUGCUAACUGAAGGAAAACUGGAUCUACAAAUGUGAUGUUGGAGGAUGUGGACCUGUGAUGAACAAACAAGAUGAACAAACAUGUCAACUAGGGUGGACAGAGGUUGACAAUGAUACCACCUGGUUUGGAGGGAAAGAGCUGGAGGAUUGAGCCUGCUGAUAUUUGGAGAUAGUUAAUUGAGUAUACUAGUUGUUGUGUGGAAAGGGAGACAGACUAUGAUACCUGUGGAGAGGGGAUAGUUGUACCAACUGGUGUGUAGAGAAAGAGGUGGAUAAUAGUUCCAGCUGGUGUGCCGAGAUGGAGCUGGUCAGAAAUAUUCUGCUAAUUGUACCAACCUUACAGUGAUGCCAUCUAUUGUGACAGGAAAGAGCUGGUGGAUGAUAGAAGCUUGGAGUGAGCUGGACAAUAAACCAAAUGACACGAUCAAUUAAAGUUGUCGGGUGCCUGUGUGCUGAAAGGGAGUCAGCUGAUGAUACCAAAGGAUGUGUGGAGAGGGAGACGGCAAUAAAAACUUGCUGAUAUCAUUGGAAAGAGUCGCUAAGAUUGUUGGUGAAUAUGUGGUGAGGGCAUCAGACAAUAAAGGUGCAGGAGUAAGUUACAUCACUCUGUUUCCUGUUUGAACGCAGUCUCUUUAUCUGUUAGUAGAUCUUCAAGGCUUCACUGACUUUUUCUGAAUCUGAAGAAAUGUAAACCUUCCCUAUUCAUAUAACCAACCAGGUACAAAUCUGACUAGAUCCACUAAGGAGGUGUUUGUCAUUGCCGAAACAAAUCUACUGACAUGGUCGCCACAUUGAAAAGAGUCAGGAGACCAAAGUAGAGUGACUCAUCCACAAUGGAUGUCGGGUUAGCUGACUUUCAGCGUAUUUUCAAAUAAUCUCAGUACAUUUCUGGAUACCUGCUUUUCUUGACACUUUUGGCAACCUCAGAUAGGGCCGAUCCCAUGAAUGUAUCACACAGUGUUUUCCCAGCGGCCUGCGACGGUAAAAGAGAACUCUCUGUGUUCCCUCUUGAUCAGUGCCUCUAUUGUCCUUUCGGGGGAGCCAGUAGCAGCAGUGUAGCUGUAUUCCACAUCAAAUUACACUCAGAAGCUUUCACCACCUUGACAGAAAGCCAAACUCGUGUGAUAAGAAGCAAACAGAAUAAUGUUCUUCUGAAUCAAUGAAAUGUCAUUUUGUAAAUGUUUUCCACUUCUUCCAAAUCGAAUAACGUGCGUGCUAUUUUCCUUAAGUGAUUGUUGCUCUGAAGAAAUUAUAUGUCUGUAGAAAUAUUAAUUGUGAUUUAUUUCUGUAUUGGUCGUAGUAUUUAUAUUUAAAUUGUAAAAUGGAGGCAACAGGAUAGUUGUUAUUUUGCCAGGGAACAAGCUGAGCUGGGAUUGGGCAAAAUCAUAUUGCAGUAAGGGUUUUCAGAUAGCUUGUGAGAUAAGAGUAUUUUUUAAUUCAGAAAAUGAAUUGACG